RNAcentral lists this long non-coding RNA (3698 nucleotides) under Olea europaea subsp. europaea. Lineage: Eukaryota; Viridiplantae; Streptophyta; Magnoliopsida; Lamiales; Oleaceae. The record is from RNAcentral.
GAAAUAUAUUUCUUUAUUUUGUUAUGGCUCUAGGCUUGUUGAAAGAAUGCAGAAAGAAAAAUAUUACUCAUAAAAAGACAUUUUUAUGUGAAAGUCUUUCAAAAUCUCAGGGAUGAAUAAGAAACUUUUAUGAUAUUUUUUGCUUACUUUUUACUUAAAACUUAGUGCAUGAAGGAUUUUGAAAAGGUCACUAAAAGUCAUUAACAUUUUCAAUAACACGUGAAGUUUUAAGACUUCUGAAAAAGUGUUGAUUUAGUCCCCGUUUGACUCUCAUAUCUUAAAAAUGAGUUUUUUUAAAUUUAUUUUUAAUUAUGCAUUCUUCUCAUAAAAUAAUUUUACUCAUAUACCAACAAUUUUUCUCUAUUUUUAACCUUAUAUUCUCCAAAAAAAAAAUAUUAUUAUAAAUAUAAUUCUCCAACAAAUUGGACUCAAACAAAAUCUUAAUAUUUAUUAAUGACUUUAUAGAACUUUUAAAAAAUCUAUAAAAAAUUACAUUGAAUCCUCUAAAACUUAUAUGAAGUCAUAAAAAGUUUAGUUCGAAUACACUUAAACAUUCUAAGUCUCUAUAAUCUUUAGAAAUCUAGAAUGAUUGCAUCCCCUUAAAGGUUUCGUAUAGAGACCUUUUUUACAUUCCAUGUACAUUUUUCAAUACAAAAAGUGAUAAUAGUGCACCGUGGCAAACAACCAGAAUUUACAAAUAUAAAGAACACUGUAGGUCUAGAAUCGAGUUAAAAUCAAAAUUUCUCAAACACGGAACACGAAAAUAAGGAACACGAGAUUUUUCGACCAAAGGCUUCGGAGAUUCAGUGACGGCUUCUAACGCUUAGUCCCCCAUUGAACAUCCAUAAAGGAUUAAACUCGAAUUCACUAUACCAGCCAAAAUAGGCAAAAAUAAAGUUACAGAACAUAGAGUUUUCAAACCACGAAUACAACACAAUCUUCCCACAGAGCAAACUCACACGAGAGUUUCUCUACAAUUUUCUCUCGAAACAACACAAAGUAUUUUCAGAGAAAAUACAAGAUCAAAUAGAGAAGACGAAAGGCACACAGCCAAGAAAACCCUCAAAAUGUUACCAACCGUAACCCUAAAGUCUCAAGACCCGUAUUUAUAUGAGAGUGAAAGAUCCAACUGUAUAAAUCUUGCCACUUGUCAUCAAUCCAACGGGACUGCCUUUUAAACUUAAGACUUGUUUGUUGAAAACAUGAUUUUAACAAUUCUAGAUUCUUCCAUUUGCGGGCAAUCAAGCUAGACCAUUUAUUUGGGCUUAAAAUAAACCAGCUUUGAGAUAAUUGGGCUGGACUCAAAAAAUUCAACAAUCCAACACUUACAAUCUCCAUCUUUGUUGUAUUUUGUGCUUGCACUUAUGUAGAUUCCAACUUAAUCUCUUACUUCAUUUGCUCUUAUUACUUGUUUACAAAAGAAGAAAAAUUUGCAAGUUUCGAGAUUCAACAAUCUCAAACAAUCUAAGAACUUACUAAGUAGUAUUACCAUUGUCCCAGCAUCAGUGGGAUUUACCUUGGUAGGUAUUUUUACCAAUUUAAUAUCAUCCCUAUCGACUAUAUCUCUAAUAAAAUGAAACUUAACAUCAAUUUGCUUGAUCUAUCAAGAAAAAUUGGGUUUUUACUUAAGAAAAUGGCACUUUGAUUAUCAGAACAUAACUCCACCUGAUUUUCUAUAAGACCUAAUUCAUUUAACAAACCUUUCAUUCAUAGUCCCUCUUUUUUAGCUUCAGUGGCAGCAAUGUAUCUUGCCUCAGCAUGGGAUAAAGCAACUAACUUUUGAAGUUGAGAUUUCCAGCUAAUGCAUGCAUUGUUUAUGACAUAAAAAUAUGCAGAAGUGGAUUUCCUACUAUCCAGAUUUCCAGCAAAGUCAAAAUCAAUAUAGCCUUUAAGUUUAAAACAAUCUUUACUUGUUUUAAACAUGAGUCCUAAAUUACAUGUACCUUUCAAGUAUCUAAUCAGGUUUUUCAUGCAUUCCCAAUGAGACUCACUUGGAUUACUCAUGAAUCUACUUACUACACUUACAGCAUAAGCUAUAUCAGGUCUUGAACACACCAUUACAUACAUUACAAACCCAACAACAUUAGCAUAUGGCACAUUCAACAUCCUUUUAAGUUCCUCUUCUGUUUUAAGUAAUUGAUCAACAAAUAAUUUCAUGCAAGCAGACAAAGGUAAGCUAACAGAUUUAGCAUUUUCAAGAAAAAAUCUUUUUACCGCUUUUCCAAUGUAAGAUUUCUGAGUUAAGAACAAUUUUCCAUUAAUUCUGAAUAUUAUUAUUUCCAUGCCCAAAAUCUUCCUAAUAGGGCUUAAAUCCUUCAUUUUAAAUUCUAAUUUCAACUUUUAUUUUAUGGAAUUAAGUAUAACAGAAUUAUAACCAGCCAACAACAUAUCAUCAACAUACAAAAGAAGGUAAAAGAAUUCAGAAUCACUAUUCUUUUAAAAGUAAAAAUAAGGAUCAAAAUAUGAUUUCUUAAACUCUAGGCCUUGUAUAAAAGAAUCAAACCUCUUAUACCAUUACCUAAGAGCCUAUUUUAGAUAGUGAUUUUUUUAGCAAACACACCAAGUUUUCUUUAUUCUUUACCUCAAAACCUUUAGACCAUCUCAUGUAAAUGGUUUCAUCUAUGGAUCCAUACAAGAGUGCAGUCUUCACAUCAAGUUGUUCCAAUUCUAGAUCAAACUGAGUCACAAUGGCAAGUAGAAUUCUAAUAGAAGUAUAUUUCACUACAUGUGAGAAAAUUCCAGUGUAGCCUAUCCCUUCUCUUUGUGUGAAAUCUUUUGCUACAAGCGUUGCCUUAUAUCUUUUAUUGGUUAUUUUUGUAUCCCUAUCUUUAAUCUUAUACAUCCAUUUACAAUCAAUUAGCUUACAUUCUUUAGGUUUCUCAAUCAAAUUUGAGGUUUUAUUUUUGUACAGAGAAUUCAUUUCAUCUUCCAUAGCCUCAAUCCAUUUGGAAGAUUUCUUACAAGAAACAGCUUUCUUAUAAGAGGUGGGUUCAAGAUCAGAGGGUUCAAACUCAGUUUGAGCAUACACAUAGUCUGCGUAUUGGUAUUUGGAAGGAGGUCUUGUUUCCCUCCUUUCCCUGUCCAUAGCAAGCUGGUAAUUUUGCAACUCAUGUGCAGGACUUAAUUCUUGAUUACCAUUCGGAACUUCAACAUCUGGAUUGUUGUGAAGUUCCAUUUGAGGCUGCUCCACCUUAAACUGAGCAUGCUCAACUGUAUUUUCCUUGUUUAGUUCAAUUUUAGUGAUAAUAAAGUUAUCAUCCCUUAUCUUUUCAUUGGUCUUGUCACUAAGGCAUGGAAAGUAAUCCUCAUUUAAGAUCAUAGACCUACUUAUUAUCACCUUAUAGCGUCUAGUAUCCCUUAACCAAAGUCUAUAGCCUUCAACUCCUUCUCCAUAUCCUAAGAAGACAUACUUUUGUAACUUAGGAUCCAAUUUUGAGUCAUUAUAAUGUGCAUAUGUAGCACACCCAAAAUUCGUGAGAUAGAUGUAAUCAUAUAUAAAAACAAAUCAGAUCUGUUCAGGGAGUUUUGUUGUUUAAUGAACUAGAAUGACAUCUAUUUAGUAAGUAACACGUUGUUUUUACUGUUUCUCUCCCAAAUAAUAUAGGCACUCCAGAACUAAACAACAUGCAUCUUGUCCUCUCAAGAAUAGUUCUAUUUAAUCUCUCGACAACUCCAUUUUUCUGAGGUAAGUGGGUGAC